AAUGACGGCAGAAUGACAACCCAAAUUUUGUAACUAUUAAUUCGCUUCAAAAUCAAACAAUAAAAGACCAUAAAU
RNAcentral lists this transfer RNA (75 nucleotides) under Shewanella putrefaciens. RNAcentral's name for it is "tRNA-Gln". Lineage: Bacteria; Pseudomonadati; Pseudomonadota; Gammaproteobacteria; Alteromonadales; Shewanellaceae. The record is from RNAcentral.